Molecule: long non-coding RNA, 6994 nt
Organism: Hydractinia symbiolongicarpus
Lineage: Eukaryota; Metazoa; Cnidaria; Hydrozoa; Anthoathecata; Hydractiniidae
Exons: 4
Source: RefSeq, a predicted model, not a curated record
UAAGUAUAUACUGCUAUUAAUUUGUGUCCUGCGUUAAGAAAAAAGAAAGAGAAAAGGAAAAAGAAAAAGUUGAACUGAAUAAAAAAAAGAGGGAGAAAAGAAUGGAUACUGUGAACUCCCAGCAUCAUGGACAAUUAGACAAUUAGACUGGACUAUGUAUGGAUUAGGCUGAACUAUCAAUGGAACAGGAAGGUCACAGAUUAAUUUAAAUAAUUACAAGUUUAUUUUUAUUUACAAUAAAAAUUCUUCAGGAGUUUCUUGUAGAUAACGAUAAAGUUUUCCUUCCGAAUGACAAUUGGUAAGGCGUUAUAUAAUAUUUCGUCUGAGAAGUAGAACGAUUUUCUCGCAAACUCUAGUUUAACUUUAGGUAAUUUGAUUUGGAAGUUCUGAUUCCGAGUUCCUUGUGCGUGACGAUUUAUCUCAAAAUACGAGUGGAAUUUCCUACACAAUUUUUGAUCAAGCGAUUUUCUAACAACUAUAUUUGCUCGUUCUUCAAUCCAAUUUUGUAUGGGUGUCAAAUUAUCGGUUUCUGUAGUAUUACGCGCUUUAUUUUCAAUUGACUCCAAUUUUGAUUUUUGGGAAAUCUCCAAAUACUUAUACUCACAGGCAUUCAAAAUGUUGGUUGAUCGAUACUUAACCUCAAAAGUUUUAUUUCUUUGGCUAAUUCUUUUCGCAGCUCCAAACGCAGUUGUAAAUACCGUGUAACUUUGUGUAACUUUGACUUUCUUCCAGACCAAUGGAAUCUCCGAUUGGAUAAGAGAGAGAUUAAUAAUAUAUGAGAUUGGAUGAUAUAUGGCAUUCGCAGAAUCUUUCAAGAGGUUUGGAGGAAUUUGAUCCAAUCCCGGCGAUUUACCGCGUUAAAGUUCUUUAAGAUGUCUUAAAAUAAUAUUAAAAUGUUGUGUUUGAACGCAGUUGAGUCAGGUGAUACUUUUGUAGGGUAAAUCCUUUUGAUAGUCGCCCAGAACUUUUUUGGAUUGAUUUUUUUAUCCUCGAGAAGAUUUCUAUUGAAUUUGCUCUUUGCAUACUCCAUGAAGUUGUUACAACGAUUCCGUAAAGUAUUGUAUACGUUCCAGUCAUUUACGGUUUUCGAUCGUCUGGCUCUGCGUAAUACUUGAUCCCGAUUAUUCAUAACAGAUUUAGUUUCAUUAUCAAGCCAAGGGCAUGGUCUACCUUUAACACGUUUUUUAUAUCACAUUAUAGUCAAACGACGUUGCAUAACGUGAUAACAACGCAAUGUUUGUGGGCGAUAGAAUUUUGAAUACCGUUGAUUUUUUUUCAAUAGGUUGUGAAGAAGACGUUUUUGCGACAGUAAAUCUAUUGGAUUCAGAAAACUAAGAACUCAAGCGGUUGACCGUUAUGCUGGUAUGAGCAACAAGGAAAUAAUAAAGUCAAAUAGCAAUGAUGGAAAGUAUAAAAGAUAGUUUAGUGUUCGCUUCACAAACAAAAGAUCUCGAACUGUUCGUGUGAAAGACGUCCACGAACAACAACAGAUUAAUAUAGUUGAUCUGAACAAAAUAAAAAUUGAACGUAACGGGAAAACUUAUUGCUACAUAGUUUCAAUAAUGAACGUUUUUUCCAGAUUUCAUUGGCUAGUUCCACUGGAUCGAAAAUUAACACGACAUGUGAAAAGAGAGAAAAAAAAAUUGAGGGAGAUGGUAGCGGAGAGGUGUUCAAUGAAUUGGUUGAUGAGGGCGUUGAUAGUGAAGAGGUAUUCGAUGAAAAUGGAAUGCUUAAUAAGGGAGAUGAUAGCAAAAAGGUUCAUGCAAUUUAUUUAGAGAUGGCUAAUAGACAAAUACCACCUUCAAUGACAGUCAGAGAGAAACAUUUAAUUGAUGUCAGUGGUGGAAGAUGCAGUGGUAUUGCAACACAUUCAAAAGAAAUUCUGUCGAACGAUCCUAACCAGCCACGGCAUUGCAGACAUGGUAGAGUAAUAAGAUAGGAUCAAGUCGUAGUUGCGUUGCAAGCCUUGACGCAUGGAUGCACAACAGCGAAAGAAAAGACUCUGGUACCGACCUGUAGUCCUUCAACGCCCUUUUUCAAAAUUACAGCGAAUAGCAAUCAUGGAGAGUGCACAGUGAAAAAAACAAAUAGAGGUGCGUAAUCGAGGGUUUUCUUGAGUUGUGAAAAGUGAAGUUUGAUGAGAUUGGUAAACUUUUUAAAAAUAUUGUUUCUGUGUUUAUAUAUCAAUGUACUUUUUAUCGUGCUUUUGUUAUUAUAAUUUCCUUAUGGCUCCUAAGCAAUAAGAAUACUAUAAACAAUUAAUUUGAUAAUAUAGUAGAAAGGUUUCUUAUUCUAGAAAUCAUUACUAAAUAUACCCUUGGAAGACUCUAGGUGCAGUGACUCAAGCGAACUUUGCUGUGUAUUCCUUAACAAAAUUAGUUUCACAAAUGGCCAAGAUUUUUUUGUUUUUUGCAGAAUUAAAUUUAACGUAUAUCAAAGAUAAAAAAAACAAAAUGUCUUUAGGGAAGAAAUUGUUUGUGCACGAAAAAGUUGCGGAAUUCAGUUGAACAAAAAUUGCGAAUAAGAACGGUUUUUUUUUGAAAAUACGAAAUUAACGGUAAUUUUUUGCUAAAUAUUUAGGAAAAUUGUGAGCCAGGAAGAAAAAGAGUAAAUUACGAAGAAAAAAAUGUGAAUUUCUGUUCUAAUUUUGAAAGACUCAAAAGUUAAAACUAUAAGCAAAUUCACAAACAUUAUUCCGAAUUCAUUCUUUUCCUUUAGGAAAACCAUUGUGGCAUUUAGUCACGAUAAAUGCCUGAAGGGGCCCUUUUUUGUGAAAACCAUAAGUACAAAUGUUAUGGACUUAAUACCUGUUUGAAAUGAGUUAGACCAACAUAAAGGAAUUGGCAUAAAUAUUUCAAUAUUUAAAAUAUUUAAUAUUUAUUUUUUGCCAUUUAGGAACAAUACAGUAAGUUGCAUUUAAAAUAAAUAAGAAAUAGAUAAACAUAGUAUAGCACGGAACUAAAGUCUACUAUUGCGUAUUACAACUUCCUUGUCAUAAAACAAAAUAAGAAUAAAUUCAUUGUUACACACCUCGAUUGAGAAAGACGGAUUUGCUUAAGGCUAAAUUAUUUCCAGGCUGCUUUGCUUGCUUCGAGGCUUUGUUUACUAUUUUUACAGGAAACUUAUCUUACAGGGUUCCCAACUGUGGUUAAACUUACCAUCUUUCAUUGCGCGUUCUGUCACUUUUAAUACUGUCUGUCUAUCUGUGUCAUACAUUGCUGAAUUAGGUUAUAUCUAAGAUAGGAUAUGUAUUGAAUUAAAUUUUAUUAUUUUUUAAUCUAUAUAUUUUUUUAUUAUUAUUAUUUUUUUACUUGACUAAAAAUACUGAACAGUGAUACAGGGAUAAUCUUAGGUACCCUAAAAAUCAAAUAAGAAUAAAAAUACAAAAAUAAAUAAUUUAAAUAUUGCAAUGCAAUAAAUACUUAAGUAUUCAGACAUUUUGACGAACAGCAUGGUGUGAACCCUUUUGGGAAAAUUGUAUCCAUCGAUGGCGAAACGCAACUAUUAAUGGAAUCUAAUAAAAGCUUUUCUCAGAAAUUUAAUUUACUAGUUUUCAGUUUGUCGAACGCCAGCCUUUACAACUUUUAUACCAAGUCCCAUGAUCUCUAACAUUUCAAUAAGGAUGUUCUCUCCAGUUGACACUUGUUUUUAAAUUUAAUUUUAUUGUUGUUAUUGUUGCUAAACAUUUAUUCAGGGUUACGAAUGUUUCACAAUAUAAAAACAAGAAAUAAAUCUAUUAAAAUUUAGUGCCAAUUCGGACAAAGUACGGAAUUAAGUUAGGUAACUAAGUUGAUACUAAGUAGGUUCACAAGUGACUUAAUUUAAACAACUGAAUGGUGUCAUUGGGAUCAGAAAGGACGUCAUGCCUAAAGUAGACGUCAUACAUGCGAUUUUCCCAAAUUUUGCAUUUAAUUUAAAGUUCUCAAGCAUUACUGACGAUAGGGCUGUAAAUUUUGGUAGACAUUUGGUAGAAAGAAAACAAUCGAUUUUAUAUGAAAAAUAAACUUUAAUGACGUCAUUAGGUUAAAAAAUGACGUCAUAUUUGUUAAAACGUUCCUUAUAUUAACGAUAGAAGUUAACAAAAUGUUUUAUCAGAAAUAUUGAUCUUCAUGUUUUAAUCUCGAAAAGCUCUGGGGACGAGAAUGGAUCUUCAUGUGAUGAAACAUGGACACGUUUUGAUUUUGGUAUUUAUAGAUGUCCGGGGGUAUGGGGAAUAAUAUAAUGAAUUCAGUGGAAUUAGAAAUGACGUCAUUUUAGAGUAUAAAUAAUUGCUUUUAAUAUGAACCGUAGUUUAUCCCUAGAAUUCAACGUAUUCUUAGAAACACCUUAGUAACCACCUGGUAACGAACAUACAUGUAAUAAAUAAUUAUAACCAAUAAAAUAUCUUACUACAAAAAUGUUUCAAGAAAUAAAUUUAUUUUAUUAAAAGUCCCAAUAACAGGUAGGAAAAAUCAGAACAUUUCAGGGCCCUAUUGCAUGACGCACUAAACAUUGUGCCCAGUCAAAGGGGUUGGAGACACUUACUGAUUGUAAUAAGAUGUAAAUUGUGUGCGAAAAACAUAUACACCAUCGCAAGUUUUAACCUUUUAAAAAAUUAAGAGUUUCCACAGUUGAUAUAUAUUAGGAAAUAAUCCCUGUGACGGGAAUAUAAUACAAUCAAAAACAUCAUUGUCCAAAAUUAAAUCAGUUCCUCCCUUUUUUUCACAAUUGAGCAAAAGCUUGCAUUUAAUAAAGAAUGAUACAUAUUUAAUGACUUAAAAAUAAAUUUGUUAAUAUUAAUUUAUAAUAAUAUAUGCCACUGUUGCAAGUUUUUGUUGCAGGAAAAAUAAAGGGAAAAUCGCUCUUCACUUUUUUUAAUUUAUUAUAAAAAAUAUAUUUGUAGAAAAUAUAUAGCCACUUAAAUAAAAUAAUUUUAAUAAAAACUGAAACAAAAAGCAACACGACAGCCAAAACGUAAAAAUAAAAACGACCACAGAUGUAGUUUAUGAGACUUUUCUUGUUUUAAGAUUUCAAAAAAUUUCAUGUCACAGUAAAUCACAAAUCUUAUUCACAAUUCACCGCACAUUUGAAGUCUGCAGUGAAGCUUGAAUGCCUUUACAUAUUUGACAGCUAACCACUCUGAUAUUUCAUCAUAGGACUUUUUUCUUAUCUUAAGGAUGUAAAUUAUUAAAAAUUGACAAAAUAUUUCGAAAAAUCGUUUAGGUCACGGGCCAUUUCGGUGUUUUUAAAAACUGUACUCUUCGCUUAACUUAGACGUCUUAUAACUUAAGUAAAAAUUGUAAUUCUUAUACAUGUCAGAUAAAAUUUGAAACAACCCCAUUUUAAUAUAAUACAACAUGAGUUUCUCCGUUUCUUUGUGUUCCGAGACGAAGAUAAGCCGUUUUUUGACAGAACAUCGGUGAUUAAGAACAUCAAUGUUUAAGACGUAUGCACAAAUUAGACAAAUAGUCGUUAGACCGUGGAAAAAUGCACGGGUUCGCCCGUCCUUGUUAUACCGCAUAUUGCGUGCGUCUCGCUACUUGCGCAGCUAAGCUACCAUUUUGCGUGACAGACAGACGGAUGGACAGACGUAUACGGGUAUUAUAAUAUAGAUGAGCAUACUUAUUAUUAUUAUUAUUUUCUUUAUUAUUAUUUACGGAUAUUUACAGAGGAUAACCAUUUAAAAAGAAGUACAAUAUUUACAAAUAAAUAUAGACAAAUUUUUCCAACGGAACCUCUCCCUCCCCCAGUUUUAAAGAAGAAUAUAUGCAAGUUAAGAAGUGAACACGAGUAAUGUCCAACCCAACGAUAAGAACACCGCCAAGAAUCAUUAGCUCAUCCUGUGACUUUGUAGAGAUUUAUAAAUUAGAAUGGAACAAUAAACUACCGAGUAUAACAAAUACAAUGAUUUACGCAAGCAACCGCACUUAUUUCUCAAAAAACGUGUAAUCGUUUUUAUUUUAAGUUUUGUAUACAUCACUUGCCUAAAGUUAUGUCAGAUAUAUUUCCACUAUUUUUCGGAACACUCUCUUGGGUGGUAGCAUACUUAGGAUCAAAAUCAAACUAACAAAAGAAUACUAGGUAGGCAAUUUUUAUUCAAAAAAUCUUACAUAAGAAAUAUUUUAUAUUUACAAUAUUUGUUCUACCAAUGGUCUUCUGUUUUGGACAAGCUUCAAGCAGUAACUUAUAGUUCAAGUUUCUACAGUAGCAAUGAUCGAUACACAUAACUGUACACCUCAAAGUAAUUUAAUUCUUCUUUAUAUUAAAUAAAAGUAUUUGUUCUUGUGCCCAGCACGUACUGGCAUCACCAAAAGAUGGAAAAUACUUCUGCUUGUUAUUUAACAGACCAAAACAACCAAUUACAAAAUAUACUGCUCCAUGAAAUUUUAGAAAAAACUUUAAGAUUUUAGUAAACAGCAGAAGUGCACUUAUUAAUGAUGUGUUUUUUAUUUGACUCUUUUAAACGUCACCGUAAAAAUGCAUUUCGCUCACCAAAAACGCUUGCGAAGAAUCCAGAUGAGUUAAGACAACUUGUUGACCUGAUAACAAUGAAUUGCAUUCUACAACAAAAUUGACAUCAGCUACUUCUGGUACCCAUGAACAGAAUUUAUCAUCAACCGUGAUCACAGCUUUCCUGACAGUCGUUACCAAACGAAUUGUUAUAAAUCGAAUGAAUUUUACCAUACCGAAGUCAAGUCUAAAGUGACUUGUGCUGUCAUGGAAAGUUCCAGCGUACGUACUAUCAUGCCCAUCUUGCAGGUUCUUUAAUGGGUAUGAAGAAUGAAUCGGAAAUGCUGCCAUAGACAAAGGUGUGUGAAGUCGAUGUAGAUAGUACUUACGUAUGCACUGGUAUCCUACUUGAUCGUCUUCAAAGCAGCUUUCAUUAACUCGCACGCAAGAAACGUUGGAUGAUAAUUCACAAACGAGCAACUAUCGCAUGUUAGACACGAUAAAACACAUUCAGAUCUUGUCACACCGUCUAGAGAUUUUUCCACAGUGCCAUUGAAUCUUGUAU